CCCUUAGAUGUUCUGGGCGACCCGCGCACUACAUUGGCACUGGCAACAAGAUCCUAGAUCUGAUAUUUCGGGGUAUUCUACCAACUGGUGUCGUGACUGGGAUUAACCCCUGCAAUUAUUGGUUAUGAACGAGGAAUUCCUUGUAAUCACGGUUUAUCAACCCGUGUUGAAUGCGUCCCUGCCCUUUGUACACACCGCCCGUCGCUCCUACCGAUGAAUCGUCCGGUGAAGUUCAUGGAGUCGCGGCUGCUCCAGCUGUUUUCGAAGUGAAAUGGACCUCAUGAUUUAGAGGAAGGAGAAGUCGUAACA
RNAcentral lists this ribosomal RNA (309 nucleotides) under uncultured eukaryote. RNAcentral's name for it is "partial 18S ribosomal RNA". It matches the Rfam family "Eukaryotic small subunit ribosomal RNA", at positions 1470 to 1796 of the family's 1831-position model. The record is from RNAcentral.